Molecule: ribosomal RNA, 253 nt
Filed under: uncultured bacterium
Lineage: Bacteria
Description: partial 16S ribosomal RNA
Rfam family: Bacterial small subunit ribosomal RNA
Source: RNAcentral
UACGUAGGUGACAAGCGUUGUCCGGAUUUACUGGGCGUAAAGAGCGCGCAGGCGGUCGAUCAAGUCGAGUGUGAAAGCCCCCGGCUCAACUGGGGAGGGUCAUUCGAUACUGAUCGACUCGAAGGCAGGAGAGGGUAGUGGAAUUCCCGGUGUAGCGGUGAAAUGCGUAGAGAUGUGGAGGAACACCGAUGGCGAAGGCAGCCUUCUGGGCCAACACUGACGCUCAUGCACGAAAGCGUGGGGAGCAAACAGG